RNAcentral lists this small RNA (403 nucleotides) under Shewanella denitrificans OS217. Its description in RNAcentral is "cspA thermoregulator". It matches the Rfam family "cspA thermoregulator". The record is from Rfam by way of RNAcentral. Lineage: Bacteria; Pseudomonadati; Pseudomonadota; Gammaproteobacteria; Alteromonadales; Shewanellaceae.
UCAGGCUUGAAAGUUGGGCUUAUAUUUAUGUGUUUCAAUACGACCAGUUUCGUCCUGUGAACAUAAGUAAUACCGGCAUUUUCCAGCUCUACGCCGUUAAGGCUUUAAUUAUUUUUUUACAGGAUUCAUAUUAUGUCUCAAGUUACUGGUGUUGUUAAGUGGUUCAACUCUGAUAAAGGUUUUGGAUUUAUCGAGCAAGAGUCUGGCCCAGAUGUAUUCGUACAUUUCCGCGCUAUCAACUCUGACGGUUUCAAGACUCUUGACGAAGGUCAAAAAGUGUCUUUCACUGUGACUCAAGGUCAAAAAGGUCCUCAAGCUGAGAACGUUUCAGUAGUUGGCUAAUAAUACCUAGCCCAGCGCUAAGUAUUGAAAAUAGGCUGCAACUUAGGUUGUGGCUUUUUUU